Molecule: ribosomal RNA, 497 nt
Filed under: uncultured bacterium
Lineage: Bacteria
Description: partial 16S ribosomal RNA
Rfam family: Bacterial small subunit ribosomal RNA
Source: RNAcentral
GAUGAACGCUGGCGGCGUGCCUAAUACAUGCAAGUCGAGCGAACGGCCCCGCAGCUUGCUUUUCUGAUGUUAACGGCGGAAGGGAGAGUAACACGUGGAUAACCUACCUAUAAGACUGGGAUAACUUAGGGAAACCGGAGCUAAUACCGGCUAAUAUUUUCAACCGCAUGGUUCAAAAGUGAAAGUCGGUCUUGCUGUCACUUAUAGAUGGAUCCGCGCUGCAUUAGCUAGUUGGUAAGGUAACGGCUUACCAAGGCAACGAGGGAUAGCCGACCGAGGAGGGGGAUCGGCCACACUGGAGCGUGGACACGCUCCAGAGUCCUAAGAGAGGCAGCAGUAGGGAAUCGGACGCAAUGGUCGGAAGCCUGACGGAGCAGCGCCGCGUGAGUGAUGAAGGUCUUCGGAUCGGAAAAAUCGGUUAUUAGUUAAGAACAUAUUUGUAAGGAACUGAGCACAUCGUGACGGUACCUAAACAGAAAGCCACGGCUAACUACGUG